UACGGAGGGUGCUAACGUUGUUCGGAAUUACUGGGCAUAAAGCGCACGUAGGCGGUCUGCUAAGUCGGUUGUGAAAGCCCCCGGCUCAACCGGGGAAUUGCGUUCGAUACUGGCAGGCUAGAGGACGGUUGGGGUGAGUGGAACUCCAGGUGGAGCGGUGAAACGCGUAGAUAUCUGGAGGAACACCGGUGGCGAAAGCGGCUCACUGGACCGUAACUGACGCUAAUGUGCGAAAGCUAGGGGAGCGAACGGG
RNAcentral lists this ribosomal RNA (253 nucleotides) under uncultured bacterium. RNAcentral's name for it is "partial 16S ribosomal RNA". It matches the Rfam family "Bacterial small subunit ribosomal RNA", at positions 524 to 776 of the family's 1533-position model. The record is from RNAcentral.